UGGGGAAUAUUGGACAAUGGGGGGAACCCUGAUCCAGCCAUGCCGCGUGUGUGAAGAAGGCCUUAUGGUUGUAAAGCACUUUAAGUUGGGGGGAAGGGCAGUAAAUUAAUACUUUGCUGUUUUGACGUUACCGACAGAAUAAGCACCGGCUAACUCUGUGCCAGCAGCCGCGGUAAUACAGAGGGUGCAAGCGUUAAUCGGAAUUACUGGGCGUAAAGCGCGCGUAGGUGGUUCGUUAAGUUGGAUGUGAAAUCCCCGGGCUCAACCUGGGAACUGCAUUCAAAACUGACGAGCUAGAGUAUGGUAGAGGGUGGUGGAAUUUCCUGUGUAGCGGUGAAAUGCGUAGAUAUAGGAAGGAACACCAGUGGCGAAGGCGACCACCUGGACUGAUACUGACACUGAGGUGCGAAAGCGUGGGGAGCAAACAGGAUUAGAUACCCAUGUAGUCCCUGAGCGGGCUGGCAAGGCGCAU
RNAcentral lists this ribosomal RNA (472 nucleotides) under uncultured bacterium. Its description in RNAcentral is "bacterial SSU rRNA". It matches the Rfam family "Bacterial small subunit ribosomal RNA", at positions 355 to 825 of the family's 1533-position model. The record is from RNAcentral.